Molecule: non-coding RNA, 114 nt
Organism: Hordeum vulgare subsp. vulgare (domesticated barley)
Lineage: Eukaryota; Viridiplantae; Streptophyta; Magnoliopsida; Poales; Poaceae
Source: Rfam
GUUAUACUCCCUCCAUCCGGAAUUACUUGUCCACAAAUGGAAGUAUCUAGGACUAAUAUAAAUUUAAAUACAUCCACUCUUGUGACAAGUAUUUCCGGACGGAGGGAGUACCUA